GUUAAAAAGCUCGUAGUUGGAUUUCUGGGAGGGUGCCAAUGUCCGCCGACGUGCGUGCGCAGCGGCGCCCUUCCAUCCUUCUGUCAACGCCUCUUGGCAUUCAUUUGCUGGUGGCGGGCUCAGAUAUUUUACCUUGAGAAAAUUAGAGUGUUUCAGGCAGGCUAGGCCGGAAUACGUUAGCAUGGAAUAAUGGAAUAGGACUACGGUCUCUUUGUUGGUUUGAGGGACUGCAGUAAUGAUUAAUAGGGAUAGUUGGGGGCAUUAGUAUUUAAUUGUCAGAGGUGGAAUUCUCAGAUUUGUUAAAGACUAACUUAUGCGAAAGCAUUUGCCAAGGAUGUCUUCAUUAAUCAAGAACGAAAGUUAGGGGAUCAAAGACGAUCAGAUACCGUCCUAGUCUUAACCAUAAACUAUGCCGACUCGGGAUCGGGGGCGCGAACUAUCCGCCUUCGGCACCGUAUGAGACAUCAAAGUCUUUGGGUUCUGGGGGGAGUAUGGU
RNAcentral lists this ribosomal RNA (496 nucleotides) under uncultured marine eukaryote. RNAcentral's name for it is "SSU rRNA". It matches the Rfam family "Eukaryotic small subunit ribosomal RNA", at positions 618 to 1129 of the family's 1831-position model. The record is from RNAcentral.